GAAGCUGAGGGCAGCGGUAAAGGCUGGGGGGGGUUUGGAGGAUCUAAAAGUUUAGGCGUGGCGGUAAGCGGAGGGGGCUGGGGGGAGGAGGCGGGGUGGGGGUGGCGCCUGCGCUCCGAGGGCGCUUAGGCCGGGUGGCGCUCCGCUACCGCAGCCGCUCCGACUCGGGCUUGCCGCACCCCCGCCGCGACCGCCCCCUGUGCUUGGAGGCCGGGUAGCACGUCCAGCAGUUGGACGCGACGCAGUUGCAGCUGCCGUUCCCGUGCGGGGCCUCGCUGGCCACCGCGCCGGAGCAGAGGCUGCCGCGGCUCUGGACGGGGCGCUACAAGCGGCCGGUCGAGUCGCUGGAGCGCGCGAGGCCGGAGUAGGCGGCGCCGAGGCAGCACGUCGAGCUGCUCAUGCAGUAGUUGUACCAGCCGCCGUCUUCCCAAUAGCAGCAAGACUUAAACUGUCAAGAAGAACGCCUCACACUGUAGUAACCGUUAGGUCACUAAUGAGGUCUUUCACUUAGAAGAUUAGUUUUGUUGGGUUCUCACCUCGUUAAAUUGCCUUGUGCAGUUAUACCAAACCGCCGUCCUUUGGGUUCAGGGUGUUCCGGGUUACCGUUACAAGGUCAGAAGGUUGGAAGCGACCGUCCCUUGAGGAACUUGUGUCGGUGGUCCGAGUCACUGUUUAGAGGUCAGAAGGUCGGUUGUCGUGUCGGUAGAAUAGCAGGACGUGGGUCAAUGUUUUUAGUUCCUCGUUAACGCUUUUUACUUCGGGGACGAUCUUAUUAGGGGUAUAGAAGAAAUUUAGGAAUAGUCCCGGCGACCCGAUAGUUCCCAUCUCAAUGACGUUUCCCUCUGUAGGCGGCCAUGGUGUUACGUUUUCCACUUCCGUUUCACAAGUUGAAACUGGACGAACUAAGACUACCCCCACUCUAUGCCCACCGUACAAAGUUGUGAGUUGAACUAGCGAAGAUACUUCAACACCUUCAACCAUUCCAGAUACACCAUAGUUCUCCUUUGAACUUUGGACAUGUCUCCUUGAUAUUGGUAGACUUGUCGCUCACCCUCUAAUGCAACCUCUCUCUAAGUAGUCACCUAGAAACAGGACUACUCUUGUCGAGUUAAGGAAGAGUCGUCAUAUUGAAGUCUGGCUAGUCACUUUAACUCCUAUGAGGCUGGCCAUGAUAUGAACUAUAGUAUCCACAACGAUAGAGACAGUCGGGAAGGUGGUGUCAUGUCUUCUUUUUACCGUGCCUUUGAGACUUUUCUUAAUAACCGGACUUCCUAUACAGACCAGCUUCACAACUAGAUUGGUACACCCCACUGAAAACGUUGUCUCUUCCGAGUGUCGACGUUCUUUACCAACUUGCACCCCAGAAGGGACACGACCCACAGUUUUGUCCUUCUCACUUACUAAAGUUACCGUUCACACAGCCGUGUUAAAGAAGGAGAGUUGAGGAGUAUCUGGGACUAGAGAGACUUCGAGUAUGAGACUCCGUUACCAAGCUGCCACCUCCUUCCCUACGAAGAUGAGUCAGGUAUAGGUCCCUAGUGUGAGGACGUCGUAGUUCCUUGCUCCAGGCUUGCUGUCAACGAUUUUAGUUCCUACUACCAGAACCUUACCCUCUGUUUGGACUAACCCAAUGCCACUUUCGGAGGUAAUAUAAGAAGUUCUCGCUGUUGAAGACGAUGUGUCGAACGGGAUGGUUCCUUCCACUGGCCGUCACGUUAUUCUUUCACUGUUUCCCCUGGAGACCGAACACCCACACACUGUUUACGCUGUUCCUCAAAGGUCUCACACUGAUGUCCAUAGAAGACGUCGAAGUCUAAGUUCUAGUGAGCCCUUGUUGAACCCACUGUCGCAAAGUCCUCUGGCGCGUUCUCAAUGAUCCGACGAGCCGCGAUCUUGAGUAAUGUAUGUUUCUCUUGCCUCUGGGAGCAAAACGUCUCUGGUACGAGUCGACAAACAAGUUCCUAAUAGACGAGUCCGACUUUCAGUUUCUUCUUUGCAUGUCGCUGCUCGCCUCUCACUUCUUGUGUAACCAGUUUCACCUCUCCAAACUAGGACGACGGCUUUCAUCUAUAGACGAGCUAAAUGAAAGUUCCAGCCACCGUAGUAUAACUCGUCGCUCAAAGCGGGCUUCUCCACACCGCCACAGGUAUUGUACAAGAGAAAACGAGCGUUCCGGGUUCCAAAUGAAUGGUAUAAUCUCUAAGUCCUAAAUAAGUCAAGUAUGCCUACAAAAACUACACUAUCAUUGUCAUUCGUACGGUUACAGAGCCGGAUACAUCUGAAAGACAGGAACAAAUUAAAAUUGCCUAGUUAAGUCUAGAUCGAUGAUUUAGUACAACUACAGACACAAUACCGUAGGGACGAAAAAAAUUGAAUGGUUACGUCAACCACCCGUGUGACUCGCUGC
This 2407-nucleotide ribosomal RNA is filed under the name Triticum aestivum (bread wheat). RNAcentral's name for it is "partial small subunit ribosomal RNA". The record is from RNAcentral. Lineage: Eukaryota; Viridiplantae; Streptophyta; Magnoliopsida; Poales; Poaceae.